AUGAACAUAGUAACUGAUUUUGCAAGUUAACGUUUGUUCAGUUGACUGCAUAAGAAUAACCUUAAUGUUUGUUGCUCUAGAUAUAUUUCAAAAACCCGGGACACGACUGCUAAUGAAGAAACUUCCGGCAGUUCCGGGUUUGGUAUAUACCACGUGGUGAUUGUUGUCAGUUCUACUUAGAGGAUAGUGAGGUUAGCUUCCUAUUUUUCGACAGUAAAUUGCAGAAGUGAAUUGUAGCUAUUGAAUUGAAGCAUUAUUAUUACAUCGAAUCAAAUCAUGACGUCAUCCUCUUUUCCAGGUAGCACUUUGCCAGGGGAAAUCAAACAUAAAAUUAAAUAUGUGUUGUUCUAUAUAGGGUGUUGUUUUCAAGGCAUUAGAAGAUGAACUGUAGUGGUACAAUAACGCCUUAUAGGUUCUUAAUUUGUUUUCCGACGUUUUGUUAAGAUAUGAUCAUAGUAUGAAAAACUUCUAUUUUUAAGUUUAUAUGCCAAUGAAUAGGCACAGACAAAUCCUCAUCAGACACAUUCCAUUAAAGUGUAUAUUUAUUUGAAAAAUAGAUGAAUCUCAGGGGAUUAGACAAUGUAAACUCCCGCUCCUAUCUUUAAAUUUAAAUAAAACAAAUUGUUUCAGAUA
Molecule: long non-coding RNA, 633 nt
Organism: Leptinotarsa decemlineata (Colorado potato beetle)
Lineage: Eukaryota; Metazoa; Arthropoda; Insecta; Coleoptera; Chrysomelidae
Source: RefSeq, a predicted model, not a curated record